UACGUAGGGGGCAAGCGUUGUCCGGAAUUAUUGGGCGUAAAGAGCUCGUAGGCGGUUUGUUGCGUUGGCUGUGAAAUCCCGAGGCUCAACCUCGGGUCUGCAGUCGAUACGAGCAAACUAGAGUGUUGCAGGGGAGACUGGAAUUCCUGGUGUAGCGGUGAAAUGCGCAGAUAUCAGGAGGAACACCGGUGGCGAAGGCGGGUCUCUGGGCAACAACUGACGCUGAGGAGCGAAAGCGUGGGGAGCGAACAGG
Molecule: ribosomal RNA, 253 nt
Filed under: uncultured bacterium
Lineage: Bacteria
Description: partial 16S ribosomal RNA
Rfam family: Bacterial small subunit ribosomal RNA
Source: RNAcentral